UACGUAGGGUGCAAGCGUUGUCCGGAAUUAUUGGGCGUAAAGAGCUCGUAGGCGGUCUGUCACGUCGGCUGUGAAAACCCGAGGCUCAACCUCGGGCCUGCAGUCGAUACGGGCAAACUAGAGUACUGCAGGGGAGACUGGAAUUCCUGGUGUAGCGGUGAAAUGCGCAGAUAUCAGGAGGAACACCGAUGGCGAAGGCAGGUCACUGGGCCGCAACUGACGCUGAGGAGCGAAAGCAUGGGGAGCGAACAGG
This 253-nucleotide ribosomal RNA is filed under the name uncultured bacterium. RNAcentral's name for it is "partial 16S ribosomal RNA". It matches the Rfam family "Bacterial small subunit ribosomal RNA", at positions 524 to 776 of the family's 1533-position model. The record is from RNAcentral.